This 990-nucleotide ribosomal RNA is filed under the name Taylorella asinigenitalis. RNAcentral describes it as "bacterial LSU rRNA". It matches the Rfam family "Bacterial large subunit ribosomal RNA", at positions 1160 to 1840 of the family's 2925-position model. Lineage: Bacteria; Pseudomonadati; Pseudomonadota; Betaproteobacteria; Burkholderiales; Alcaligenaceae. The record is from RNAcentral.
UGCGCGGAAGAUGUAACGGGGCUAAGCCAGUUACCGAAGCUGCGGAUGCAUCCGCUCUUUUAAUGUGUUUAAUCGAGAUACUUCAUUGUGAGAGUUUUGAAUGCAAAUUCAAAACUCUCACUAACGUACUCCAAAAGGCUUGGACAGAGAGGGUCCAAAAGGCUUGGACAGAAAAGAGUUCAAAAGGCUUGGACAGGAAAGAGUCCAAAAGGCUUGGACAGGAAAGAGUUCAAAAGGCUUGGACAGGAAAGAGUCCAAAAGGCUUGGACAGAGAGGGUCCAAAGUACUUAAGGAGGUUUGAAUCUUAAACUGUAAGUUUAAGAUUUAUGGAUAAUCGAACGAAGUGGAUUAGACAUAUUAAGAGAGCGGAUGCGUGGUAGGAGAGCGUUCUGUAAGCCAGAGAAGGUGAAUCGAGAGGUUUGCUGGAGGUAUCAGAAGUGCGAAUGCUGACAUGAGUAGCGAUAAAGGGAGUGAAAAGCUCCCUCGCCGUAAGUCCAAGGAUUCCUGCGCAACGUUCAUCGGCGCAGGGUUAGUCGGCCCCUAAGGUGAGGCAGAGAUGCGUAGCUGAUGGGAAGUGGGUUAAUAUUCCUACACCGGCUUGUGAUGUGAAGGGGGGACGGAUUGCGGAAUGUGUACGGGCUGUUGGAAAUGCUCGGUAUUGUAGCCAAGAAGUUGAUUAGGCAAAUCCGGUCAAAGGAUUCAAGGCUAUGAUUCGCAGAAGACUUAAGGUCUUUGAAGUCACAGGAAGUGGUUCCAGGAAAAGCCUCUAAGCGUUAAAUUACAAGUUGACCGUACCGCAAACCGACACAGGUGGACGGGAUGAAUAUUCCAAGGCGCUUGAGAGAACUCAGGAGAAGGAACUCGGCAAAUUGAUACCGUAACUUCGGGAGAAGGUAUGCCUUUGUAUGGUGAGUAGCCAGAAGAGGCCGCAGAGAAUAGGUGGCUGCGACUGUUUAUUAAAAACAUAGCACUCUGCAAACACGAAAGUGG